This 80-nucleotide transfer RNA is filed under the name Diddensiella santjacobensis. RNAcentral's name for it is "tRNA-Leu". It matches the Rfam family "tRNA". Rfam says of the family: Transfer RNA (tRNA) molecules are approximately 80 nucleotides in length. Their secondary structure includes four short double-helical elements and three loops (D, anti-codon, and T loops). The record is from RNAcentral. Lineage: Eukaryota; Fungi; Ascomycota; Dipodascomycetes; Dipodascales; Trichomonascaceae.
AUCAGCCUGGUGGAAAGGUAUACACGGCUUUCUUAAGAAGAGCUGCUAAUAGCAUAUAGGUUCAAAUCCUAUGGCUGAUA